RNAcentral lists this long non-coding RNA (879 nucleotides) under Homo sapiens (human). RNAcentral describes it as "HSALNT0067249". The record is from RNAcentral. Lineage: Eukaryota; Metazoa; Chordata; Mammalia; Primates; Hominidae.
CUUCGACGGAAGGGCGGGGCGGGGCACACCCACAACCCUCCCAGGAGCAGCCGCUCCCGGCCCCUCCCACUGCCCGCCUUGCCCGGGCGGUGACCUAAAACACCAGCUCCAGAGACACACGCCCCAAACACAGGCCACUCUGAGUCACCCCUGGGGACACUGGCAGGCACACAGGCUCCUGCUGAGAGCAAGGGAAGCAGGUGGUAAAGAUCUGGGGCUCCGGCAGCAGCACAAGAGGGGCCAGGCCCACGGCUUUCCAGCUCGUGGAGGUGGACACGGUCAUGAGGCUGGACUUCGGGCUGGAGGCCCUGCCAGCCCCCCAGGUCUCCUCCACCCACCCCCAAGAGGCACAGGAUUGCACCGAAGGCCGCAGACUCCAAAAGCUGCAGUGCAGGUGGAAGAGGCUCCCUGGGAAGCAGCCCUAGCCCCAUCCUUGCCUGGCCUGAGUCAGGAGCUGCGAGCACAGGGGAUUUCCUCCACUUCACUCUUCUUCCUGGUCCUCAAUACUGCCCCUGCCUCAAAGGUACCUGAAACCUGCCCUGCCCCAGCCAGUUGCUCAGACACCCUGGGGAUCAGCCAGCACAAGGCAGGGCCAGCAGUGGUGGGGCCUCAGGGCAGGCGCUAGAACUGCGGGGGCUCAGGUGGAAGACAGGGACUCCCGAGAGGCUGUGGGAGGAGGGUUAGGUAUAGAGAGGGUCCUCCCAAGGGGAGAUGGGAAGAGAGGACCAGAGGCUGGAGGCAGGCCUGGGAGGGGGUGGUGGGCUCAGCAGGAAGGAUGGAAAGCUGCAAGAGGGCAGGCUGGGCUGCUUCAGCUACUGAAACGCACCCAGGUGGAUGGCUGAGUCCCUGUGCCAGGAAGAAGCAGGGAGAGAAGCGGGG